RNAcentral lists this unclassified non-coding RNA (464 nucleotides) under uncultured Russula. RNAcentral's name for it is "sequence contains ITS2". The stretch from base 1 to 154 matches the Rfam family "5.8S ribosomal RNA". Lineage: Eukaryota; Fungi; Basidiomycota; Agaricomycetes; Russulales; Russulaceae. The record is from RNAcentral.
AACUUUUGACAACGGAUCACUUGGCUCUCGCAUCGAUGAAGAACGCAGCGAAAUUCGAUACGUAAUGUGAAUUGCAGAAUUCAGUGAAUCAUCGAAUCUUUGAACGCACCUUGCGCCCCUUGGCUUUCCGAUGGGCACACCCGCUUGAGUGUCGUGAAAUUCUCAAAAACCUUUGUUUGGAAGGGAUUUUGAGCUUGUAGGCAUUUUGCUGUCUUCACCUCGAAGCGAGCUCCUCCCAAAUGGAUUAGUGGGGUCUGCUUUGCCGAUCCUUGACGUGAUAAGAUGUUUCUACGUCUUGGGUUUGGCACUGUCACUCGGGCACCCGCUUCUAACCGUCUUGUCGACAACGAUGGCGUUCCGGUCACCACCGUUUCAUCGGUGGGAGGCUUGACCCACCAAAAAACCUUGACCUCAAAUCGGGUGAGACUACCCGCUGAACUUAAGCAUAUCAAUAAGCGGAGGCU